This 425-nucleotide ribosomal RNA is filed under the name uncultured bacterium. RNAcentral's name for it is "partial 16S ribosomal RNA". It matches the Rfam family "Bacterial small subunit ribosomal RNA", at positions 354 to 796 of the family's 1533-position model. The record is from RNAcentral.
GUGGGGAAUCUUGCGCAAUGGGCGAAAGCCUGACGCAGCCAUGCCGCGUGAAUGAUGAAGGUCUUAGGAUUGUAAAAUUCUUUCACCGGGGACGAUAAUGACGGUACCCGGAGAAGAAGCCCCGGCUAACUUCGUGCCAGCAGCCGCGGUAAUACGAAGGGGGCUAGCGUUGCUCGGAAUUACUGGGCGUAAAGGGCGCGUAGGCGGACAGUUUAGUCAGAGGUGAAAGCCCAGGGCUCAACCUUGGAAUUGCCUUUGAUACUGGCUGUCUUGAGUACGGGAGAGGUGAGUGGAACUCCGAGUGUAGAGGUGAAAUUCGUAGAUAUUCGGAAGAACACCAGUGGCGAAGGCGGCUUACUGGUCCAUUACUGACGCUGAGGUGCGAAAGCGUGGGGAGCAAACAGGAUUAGAUACCCGAGUAGUCC